CUCCCGGCCGCCAUGGCGGCCGCGGGAAUUCGNNNNNCCUACGGGAGGCAGCAGUGGGGAAUUUUCCGCAAUGGGCGAAAGCCUGACGGAGCAACGCCGCGUGAGGGACGAAGGCCUCUGGGCUGUAAACCUCUUUUCUCAAGGAAGAAGAUAUGACGGUACUUGAGGAAUAAGCCACGGCUAAUUCCGUGCCAGCAGCCGCGGUAAUACGGGAGUGGCAGGCGUUGUCCGGAAUUAUUGGGCGUAAAGCGUCCGCAGGCGGCUUUUCAAGUCUGCUGUUAAAGCGUGGAGCUUAACUCCAUCAUGGCAGUGGAAACUGAAAGGCUUGAGUAUGGUAGGGGCAGAGGGAAUUCCCGGUGUAGCGGUGAAAUGCGUAGAUAUCGGGAAGAACACCAGUGGCGAAGGCGCUCUGCUGGGCCAUUACUGACGCUCAUGGACGAAAGCCAGGGGAGCGAAAGGGAUUAGAUACCCCUGUAGUCCUGGCCGUAAACGAUGAACACUAGGUGUCGGGGGAAUCGACCCCCUCGGUGUCGUAGCUAACGCGUUAAGUGUUCCGCCUGGGGAGUAUGCACGCAAGUGUGAAACUCAAAGGAAUUGACGGAAUCACUAGUGAAUUCGCGGCCGCCUGCAGGUCGACCAUAUGGGAGAGCUCCCAACGCGUUGGAUGCAUAGCUUGAGUAUUCUAUAGUGUCACCUAAAUAGCUUGGCGUAAUCAUGGUCAUAGCUGUUUCCUGUGUGAAAUUGUUAUCCGCUCACAAUUCCACACAACAUACGAGCCGGAAGCAUAAAGUGUAAAGCNNNNNGUGCCUAAUGAGUGAGCUAACUCACAUUAAUUGCGUUGCGCUCACUGCCCGCUUUCCAGUCGGGA
This 868-nucleotide ribosomal RNA is filed under the name uncultured bacterium. RNAcentral's name for it is "bacterial SSU rRNA". The stretch from base 1 to 701 matches the Rfam family "Bacterial small subunit ribosomal RNA", at positions 301 to 1533 of the family's 1533-position model. The record is from RNAcentral.